RNAcentral lists this ribosomal RNA (119 nucleotides) under Pteropus alecto (black flying fox). Lineage: Eukaryota; Metazoa; Chordata; Mammalia; Chiroptera; Pteropodidae. The record is from RNAcentral.
GUCUAUGACCAUGCCACCCUGAACAAGCCUGAUCCUGUCUGAUCUUGGAAGCUAAGCAGGGUUGGGCCUGGUUAGUACUUGGAUGGGAGACCACGUAGGAAAACCAGGUGCUGUAGGCA